GUGUUUGUGUGUCCUACGCCAGUCUAUGCACUGAUGAGUGACACAGUGUGUGUGUGUGUGUGUCCUACGCCAGUCUAGGCCCUGAUGAGAACGUUGAGGCCCUGCUGUCUUUCUUGCGGCGUGUUCCAGAUCUUAAAGGGGUGAGGCUGGACAUGGGCCCCCUGACUGAGAGAUCGGCCUCUGGGGUCAUCUCCCUCAUCCAGGCCUGCCCAACACUCACAGACCUCAGGUACAUCCCCCUCAUCCACUCACAGACCUCAGGUACAUCCCCCUCAUCCACUCACAGACCUCAGGUACAUCCCCCUCAUCCACUCACAGACCUCAGGUACAUCUCCAUCAUCCAGGCCUGCCCCACACUCACAGACCUCAGGUGGUUCUGUGGAGAACAAGGGUAUGGCAUCGUCUCUGAGGAAGGACUUAACAUCCUCCAGCAGUCUCAACAUCAUCUCAGAGGCAUCCUCUCUCUAACAGGGUAUGUGUGUGUGUGUGUGUGUGUGUGUGUGUUUGUCUCAACAUCAUCUCAGAGGCAUCCUCUCUCUAACAGGGUAUGUGUGUGUGUGUGUGUGUGUGUGUGUGUGCGUCUCAACAUUAUGUACAUAUGUAUGUGUGUGUGUGUGU
This is a long non-coding RNA of Clupea harengus (Atlantic herring), 618 nucleotides long. NCBI's taxonomy places the organism in Eukaryota, Metazoa, Chordata, Actinopteri, Clupeiformes, Clupeidae. The record is from Ensembl.